Molecule: ribosomal RNA, 1447 nt
Filed under: Herbaspirillum seropedicae
Lineage: Bacteria; Pseudomonadati; Pseudomonadota; Betaproteobacteria; Burkholderiales; Oxalobacteraceae
Description: 16S ribosomal RNA
Rfam family: Bacterial small subunit ribosomal RNA
Source: RNAcentral
UGGCUCAGAACGAACGCUGGCGGCAUGCCUUACACAUGCAAGUCGAACGGCAGCAUAGGAGCUUGCUCCUGAUGGCGAGUGGCGAACGGGUGAGUAAUAUAUCGGAACGUGCCCUAGAGUGGGGGAUAACUAGUCGAAAGAUUAGCUAAUACCGCAUACGAUCUACGGAUGAAAGUGGGGGAUCGCAAGACCUCAUGCUCCUGGAGCGGCCGAUAUCUGAUUAGCCAGUUGGUGGGGUAAAAGCCUACCAAGGCGACGAUCAGUAGCUGGUCUGAGAGGACGACCAGCCACACUGGGACUGAGACACGGCCCAGACUCCUACGGGAGGCAGCAGUGGGGAAUGCUGGACAAUGGGGGCAACCCUGAUCCAGCAAUGCCGCGUGAGUGAAGAAGGCCUUCGGGUUGUAAAGCUCUUUUGUCAGGGAAGAAGUUUGGCUAAUAUCCAGAACUAAUGACGGUACCUGAAGAAUAAGCACCGGCUAACUACGUGCCAGCAGCCGCGGUAAUACGUAGGGUGCAAGCGUUAAUCGGAAUUACUGGGCGUAAAGCGUGCGCAGGCGGUUGUGUAAGACAGAUGUGAAAUCCCCGGGCUCAACCUGGGAAUUGCAAUUGUGACUGCACGGCUAGAGUGUGUCAGAGGGGGGUAGAAUUCCACGUGUAGCAGUGAAAUGCGUAGAUAUGUGGAGGAAUACCGAUGGCGAAGGCAGCCCCCUGGGAUAACACUGACGCUCAUGCACGAAAGCGUGGGGAGCAAACAGGAAUAGAUAGCUGGUAGUCCACGCCCUAAACGAUGUCUACUAGUUGUCGGGUCUUAAUUGACUUGGUAACGCAGCUAACGCGUGAAGUAGACCGCCUGGGGAGUACGGUCGCAAGAUUAAGACUCAAAGGAAUUGACGGGGACCCGCACAAGCGGUGGAUGAUGUGGAUUAAUUCGAUGCAACGCGAAAAACCUUACCUACCCUUGACAUGGUCGGAAUCCUGAAGAGAUUUGGGAGUGCUCGAAGGAGAACGGCGCACAGGUGCUGCAUGGCUGUCGUCAGGUCGUGUCGUGAGAUGUUGGGUUAAGUCCCGCAACGAGCGCAACCCUUGUCAUUAGUUGCUACGAAAGGGCACUCUAAUGAGACUGCCGGUGACAAACCGGAGGAAGGUGGGGAUGACGUCAAGUCCUCAUGGCCCUUAUGGGUAAGGCUUCACACGUCAUACAAUGGUACAAACAGAGGGCCGCCAACCCGCCAGGGGGAGCUAAUCCCAGAAAGUGUAUCGUAGUCCGGAUUGGAGUCUGCAACUCGACUCCAUGAAGUUGGAAUCGCUAGUAAUCGCGGAUCAGCAUGUCGCGGUGAAUCCGAUCCCGGGUCUUGUACACACCGCCCGUCACACCAUGGGAGCGGGUUUUACCAGAAGUGGGUAGCCUAACCGCAAGGAGGGCGCUCACCACGGUAGGAUUCGU